Molecule: ribosomal RNA, 424 nt
Filed under: uncultured beta proteobacterium
Lineage: Bacteria; Pseudomonadati; Pseudomonadota; Betaproteobacteria
Description: bacterial SSU rRNA
Rfam family: Bacterial small subunit ribosomal RNA
Source: RNAcentral
AACGCGAAGAACCUUACCUACCCUUGACAUGCCAGGAAGCUUGCCGAGAGGUGAGUGUGCCCGAAAGGGAGCCUGGACACAGGUGCUGCAUGGCUGUCGUCAGCUCGUGUCGUGAGAUGUUGGGUUAAGUCCCGCAACGAGCGCAACCCUUGUCACUAGUUGCUACGCAAGGGCACUCUAGUGAGACUGCCGGUGACAAACCGGAGGAAGGUGGGGAUGACGUCAAGUCCUCAUGGCCCUUAUGGGUAGGGCUUCACACGUCAUACAAUGGCGCAUACAGAGGGCUGCCAACCCGCGAGGGGGAGCCAAUCCCAGAAAGUGCGUCGUAGUCCGGAUUGCAGUCUGCAACUCGACUGCAUGAAGUCGGAAUCGCUAGUAAUCGCGGAUCAGCAAUGUCGCGGUGAAUACGUUCCCGGGCCUUGUA